This is a long non-coding RNA of Myotis lucifugus (little brown bat), 6754 nucleotides long. RefSeq lists it as uncharacterized. Lineage: Eukaryota; Metazoa; Chordata; Mammalia; Chiroptera; Vespertilionidae. The transcript has 6 exons. The record is from RefSeq and is a predicted model, not a curated record.
GAGCUCUUAUUCUCCAUGUCUUAUUCCAUGCGAAUCUGUCCUUUGUUCUGUUCUUCUCUCCCCACUCUCUGCCUUGGCAAUCUCUGGCAGCCCAUGCUUCAGCCAUCCCCUAUGAAGAUGGUUCCUAAAUCUGCAUCUCCAGCCAUGGCCUCUUUUUGGAGUUCCAGACUCACAUUAUCAGCUGCGUUUUGAACACCUCCACCGGGAUGGCCCACCAGCCUGGCAAACUCAGCCAUGGUUGCUUGUUACCCAGGCAAUGGGACGGGAUAUGUGCGUCAUGUUGAUAAUCCCAAUGGAGAUGGAAGAUGUGUGACAUGUAUAUAUUAUCUUAAUAAAGACUGGGACGCCAAGGUAAGUGGAGGUAUACUUCGAAUUUUUCCAGAAGGCAAAGCCCAGUUUGCUGACAUUGAACCCAAAUUUGAUAGACUGCUGUUUUUCUGGUCUGACCGCCGCAACCCUCAUGAAGUACAACCAGCAUAUGCUACAAGGUACGCAAUAACUGUUUGGUAUUUUGAUGCAGAUGAGAGAGCCCGAGCUAAAGUAAAAUAUCAAACAGGUGAAAAAGGUGUGAGGGUUGAACUAAAUAAACCUUCUGAUUCGAUCAGUAAAGACGUCUUAUAGAGAGACUGAUCCAGCAAUACCCUCCUUCACCUCCAGUGACUGUUGGCGCUGUUUGUUAACUUGUGACUACAAAUGAAUGGGAUAAAGAAAAAUAGACAACCAGUUGGCAUUUUCAUAAGGAAACGGAAACAACCUUUUGGUGUUGCAUCAGGAAGAUUUGACCGUGUGGCUUUGUACUGCAUGACUGACUCCAAACCUGUGAUUGCUGAUGGAAGAAUAUAAGCUACCAGCUGAGAAUGGUCUCUACCCCGGACAUGAUAAGUGCCCUCGGUAGCAUUGUUUCAUUCUUACAUUUUGUCAGAUCUGCCAUCUAGCUGAGUUCAUUUCAUCUCUCCCUUUUUUAUAUAGUCAAGUUCGAAUUUGGAGUAAUUUUUGUAUGAUCAGGUACAAUUUAUCAAAACUGAAUUGAGAAAAAAUUACAGCAUUGUCCCCCAAAAUAGCAUCAAUCUAUUUUUGUAAACCUCUUCGUACUAUUAAAUUUUGCCCUAAAAGACCUCUUAUAAUGAUUGCUGCCAGUGACUGACAAUUAAUUUUCUUUUUACUUACAAGAAGGAGCACUUUAAUUACCAGCUGAAAAAUCGGAUUUUUUGUAGUCCUGUCUUACACUAAUUUGAACUCUUAAACAUGGCUUCUGUUGUUUUUGUUGACAUUGUUAAUAAUGAAACAUAACAGUAAAACCAUCACCAUUUACUACCAAUAACUUUUAGUUCCGAAUGUUUUCUAAGAAAAAAUACACAAUAAGAAAAAUACAGGUUUAUAUUUUAAGUUAAAUUUUUUUUUAAAAAGCUACAGUGACUGGCACUACGUGAACUUGAGGGUAUCUUCAGCCUCACGUUCCCGGGAUAAAGGGCUUUCCUAAGCUCUCAGGUGUGUCCUGUGGAGCAGCGGUCGCCAGCCUUUCAGACCUCAAGGACCACCAGGGUCCGCGGACCAACCAUUGGCCACGCUGCUAUAGAUAGAAGAGCCCCUUCUAGGGCUUUUCCUUGGGCUUCCCAAAUGGUUGGUUGCAUGUUGAGCUUUGCUAUUACGUUUUCCUGUUCCUAUGACCCUCACCCCCCGCCCCCACCCCCCGACCUGCAGGUCAGAACCUGGUUCCCCUUGGGUAGCCUCUAGGGGAGGCUGUGCUUCAAAACUGACCUGUCACAGAGGGGAUGUUAGUGACACCUCAGUCCGCUGCUGAGGGGGUCCCCACCCGUGAGGCUGGCCUCUUGAUCACCAAAAGGUGUGUGGUUCGAGUGGAAAAUCAAAAGAAGGGAACAGCAAGAUCAUUUCACGUGUGAGUUUUCCUUUUUACUUUUCAGAAAAAGAGGGAAUGUUCCGAAAUCACACAAGGCCUCCCAGACUUGGCCACAUAAUGUAUGAACCGGAACGGGUGUCCUAGGCAAAGCGCACAGGGUGGCACCCGUAUCCUGCACGCAUUAUGGGUGGAAGGCCCACUUCGGUUUCCUAUCUGUCCUUGAUCUUCUUGGCCAAAACAAUGUGAGUGUACAGAAAUACUUCUGUAUAUUUCCGCUGACAACAGUUUUAAGCAUUUGUAUUGUUUGUAUUCACGUAGAGACUUUUUCUAUGGAAAGCUCAGUAAUUUGUAUUAAAAGAUCAAUAUUGUUCAUGUAAAACAUGAAAAAAAAAUGUAGUGAAACCAACAGUGUGGAUCUAGGGGGGGACUGAUACUCAGUGUCGCGGCCUCACUGCGGAGAACUGCAGGACAAAGCUGCAGUUUAUGUCUUUUUCAUAGCCCGUCUUCAGUCUUGUCCCACUUCCUCUCCUCAUCCCGAUCAUGCAGUGUAACACCUCCACAGCUAGUGCCUCGGCAGCCGGCCUGGGGGCGUCCCAGCCAGCUGGUCUCAGCGUGCGCUGCCUCGUUAGGUGUCGAGCAGGUUGUGCUGUGUGGAUGGGAGGUCUGUCUGACUGUCAGGGUACUCAGCAACAGCCUCCCAGCCUGGGAGCCCCGUGUCACGCUCCAAUGUCCACCUGCAGCUCUGCUAGGUGGGCUGUGCUGCCAGGCAGGGCUGACCUUUGUAGUUUGGGGGAGGAGUUUAUGUAAUCCCUUGGAGGUCAUUGUGAAAGGAUCAAGAACCAGAAUAGCCAUUUCUUUAAUGUCCAUUUAAAAUCUGCUCGUUUCUUGUUAGUGGGGCCGUGACGUUGUCACCAAGCAGGACUCUUGUUCAAAACAAAAUUUAAAAUUAUUUGUGGCCUCUAUGUGUUUAAUCCUGGUUAAAGACAAAGCUUCUAAUGCUGUUUUUAUUCAACACAUUAACCAGCUGUAAAGCACAGACCUUCAUAAACAGGCAAAGAAUCUCAGGAUUCAUGCGUAGACCGUGCAAAGUCAUGUAAUUUGAAAAGCAGCGUUGCAUUAUGAAAGAGCGCCCAAGCUGCUUGUAAAGCUAAUCUAAUUAAAGUGAUGUAUAAACGUUCCUGGGAAAAAAGUAUGCUUGUUAUUUCCACCUGUCUUUUCCUGUUUUUUAAUCCUUUCUCAGAGACCGACUUUCUCUGUAUCCCAUACUGUGCUUUCCUAUCCCACACCUCUGGCGUGGUUCAGAAUGUUGGCUGUCACUUUCUGUAAAUGGUCAGGGAAAGAGGGAAACCAGUAAACAUGGGGGGGCCCAUGUGAGAGGCAUCCUGGGGGUCAUUGCGCUGCCCGUGGGGCCCCUGAGCUCUGUGCUGAGAUUCUCAACGUUCGGGUUCUGCCCCUUUGAAUAGGAUUUUUAGAACGACGCUAACACUCAUGCUCUGGAGCACACCGGUGUCGCCCUGUGCUGCAAAAGGACGGGGCAUUGGCCCUUUGUCCCUAAUUGUCAGAGGUGUCCUGUUGGGUGGGAGUAGUUAUGAGUUUGUGUGUCAUCGACUAAACUGUAUGAGCUCUUAUAAAAGGAGAUCAGUGGACAUCUUCACUUACCUCUCCUUUAAAUACCUUUAGUGUGGGCCCCCCCCCCCCCCAGCCCAUCUUAGGGCGUUUGGAAAAUUGUACUGAAAUGCAGCUGGGUGAAUUCAAGGAGAGGACAAAUGAGUUCGAGAUGAAGACUAAUUAAAUUAGGCAGUGUAGUAAAAAGAGCAGACAGAAUUGACCAAUCUGUUUAGUUCUGGCUCAGCCACUUAAUUGUGUGACACUUAGAGCCAUUUUAAGCACAAUAGCUACAGACUUAGUCGUGUAAGACCUAAUGAAAUACAGAUUGCCCAAGGGGCACCUGGGCCAAGGAUGAGAACUGUGUACCGUAUGUUUAAUAACAUAAUUGUACAUUAGCUUGUUUUCAGUUGUUUAAAAACAUUCAGUUGUUUAGAAACACCCAGUCUUAGUGCUUCAAGGAUGGUUUUGGGGACAUCUGAGGUCAGGGAUACAUCCCCCGGAUUCCGAUUUUGGUUUUAAUGCAGAUUCUUUUCAUCAUCGCCAGCUAGUCAGUUUCACCUGAAACACGGCCAUGUUCAAGGAUCUGCCAUGGGGUCAGUGAUGAAUAUAAAGGGCAGGGCCUCGUGAGCUGGAAGACUUGUAAGUAGAGGACACAGGCCACUUCCCAAGACAGGGAGCGCGCACACAGCUACAGGCAGCUAACGCUCCUUUCAUCGAAUGGAUUGAGCUCUGAACAAGGUGUCAGAGGUUAUUGGGUGUAAGGUCUCCUUUGCAUCGAGAUGAAGACUUUUCCUGCCCAAAUCACUCUAUUUCUUUGGUGUUCUAUAAAAUACCUUUACAAUUUUUCCCCAGGACACACCAAGCAGAGCAAUCUUGAUCUCCACUUACAAAUAAAACAGGACCAGAGAAGUGACUUUUGUUAAAAAAAAAAGGGGAACGCUUCAUGAAUUCGCGUGUCAUGCGUGUGCAGGGGCCGUGCUAACCUUCUCUGCAUCGUUCCGUUUCAGCGUCGGGGCUGCCGAAGUGAUCCCUGGGCGUUUGCCCGGUUCUGAGUUCCGUUGCGACAUCGCUGCGCCUCGAUUUUGCAGCCCCAGGCGUGAUCUCUAACUUCCAACAUGGGAGACACGCACAGGCCUCUGCAGCCCCAGCUGCUUGUCGAGCUCCUGCCACAUCCCCCCUCUUCCUCAUGUAAUCGCGCUGUAACUUGGGUUCACACCAGGUUAAUAGACUGCGAGCUCACUUAAAGCUGAGACGCGUGUUAGUAACCAGGGUGACUUGUCUUCCACGGUGGACUGUUCUCCUUCCUGCCUCGGUUCCUCCCUCUUUUCCCUGCAGCCUCCGACCUGGGGCAGGGCUUGUGGAGCCAUCGCCCUUUAUGGGGGCUGAGCGCCGUCUUCCUCAGGCGCCUCUCCCCAUUGUUCCGGGGGCCCCUUCCCCGCUCGGUUGGAUCUUGGGUUUCCUGGACCCCACGCUUCCUCUUUCUGGGUUUACUUCCUCGGUCUGGCACGGGUGCCCUCAGCGCUUCCUGUGGAGCCACGUGGUGGCGAGUUUUCCCAGGCCAGUGUCUGUUGUCCCCUUCGUGGCUCAUUUGAGUUCCCAGUUCCAACUUGGCCAUGAGUUUCCUUCAGGAUUUGGAAGGCAUCGCCUCCCUGCUUCUAGGUGGCAGGUGGGCGCUGAGCCGUCUGCAGCCUUGGCCGGCUGUGUGUGUGUAACCUGCCUUUUCUCUGCGGUCGGACGCCCAUGGCUUUGCCCUUGGUCCCAGGGCACUGUAGGCUUCCCGUGUGCUUUGGCGUGGGCCUGCGUGUGUGCCCUACAUUUGGGGACAUUUUCUUUAUUCUUUUUUUAAUUUAAAUUCUUUAUUGUUUAAAGUAUUACGUAAGUCUCCCUUUUCCCCCAUUGACCUCCCCCACCCCCGCCCCGCCAACAUUUUCUUAAAUGAUAUUAUUUCUCUCCUGCAUCCUUGGCUCGUUGUGGAGUACCUCCUGGUGGGCCUGCAUAUCUGUCCUUUAUUUUGGAGACUCCUAUCCCGCUCCCACCCCCGUUUUCCCAGCAGGAGUUUCAUGUCUGCUGUUGGGUUUUAAUCCAGGGCUUUCUUUUGUUCUCUCCAUUUUUAAAAAAAACACAUAAGGUGUUCCAUUUAAUGGAUAGUCUUCAACCUUCCUGUUGGUUUUCGGUUUUGCCCUUCCUGUUGGACACUCUCCUCGCACGUCUGGUCGUUCUUGCUGUGUGUUCAUGUUUAAGGGAAGGUACUUGGGCUUGUGGGUUUUCAAUAAAUAUUGGCAGCUGCCUAAAUCCGAAUCUUGCGUAAUCCUCCCGACACGAUCCAGACCGGGGAACAGCGUCACCUUUCCCUUGUCCCUGCAGCAUCACCGAGACACGAGAAACAGUUCCGUGACAGCAGAGAACACGCACCAGGACCCACGGGAGGGUGGAGUCAGGUGGAAGCUCUGGUGGAGGGGUGAGGGCCAUGGGGCCAGCGUGGCCGUUCACGGGACAGCAGGGACCCCACCGCGAGGGAAGGAAGCGCUGAUGAAUCCGACACCAGCUGCACGAGAAGCGGAUGUUGGGAGUUCCUGAGAUCACAGCUCGCCUGUUGGGGAGCCUCCCAUUUCUGGGAGAGGGGAAGGUACCUCCUAGAGGCUUGACGGGAAAGUGAAAGAAGCAGCGAAAACUAAAAUAAAGGCCUCAGAGGAGACUCCAAACCCUCUCACCUCACAAAGAAAUGCUGUAUUGCACCGUCCCAACAGAUGAGAGAAGCCACACACCCCUGUCCUUGCUACCGAGAGCCAACUGCAGUGCCUUUCAAACAGGAAAAGGAAGACAGGUGGUGUGAGCACUGUGAGAAGAAGCGACGGGAUCCACACAGCCCAGGGACAUGUCUCGCCAGCCACUGGCAGAAGAGAACUGGAACCACCCCGGGUCUGAAGGAAAUACCUCACCUCCCACAGGACUGCAGAAAUCGAACUGAAAAUGAAAAAUCUCCACCAAAAAUGGACCCAAAGAGGAAACAGAGAAACCUCAGGGAGCGUUGAAACAAGGCUUGAUGUAACUCGGCAAAGAAAUAGGAAAAGACAAAAUUAUCUCAAAUUAACAUGAAGUUAUAAAGUACCCAACAAAGAAUAGUGGCACCUGAAAACACAGUGAGAUAUAAGAAAGAGGAAAGCGGCCAAGAGUUCAAAACAGAAGGGAUGGACACAGGUGCACUGUGGAGGGUCACACCGUGAUCCCUGCCCAGCACUGAGGAGCAGCAGUCUGCAGACGCACAGCCUGCGGGCCAACUUGUCUCGC